Molecule: non-coding RNA, 182 nt
Filed under: Acidithiobacillus sp.
Lineage: Bacteria; Pseudomonadati; Pseudomonadota; Acidithiobacillia; Acidithiobacillales; Acidithiobacillaceae
Also listed under: 4 other names
Description: 6S RNA
Rfam family: 6S / SsrS RNA
About the family: E. coli 6S RNA was the first non coding RNA to be sequenced, but its function was unknown until recently. It consists of 184 nucleotides that fold into an extended hairpin structure with a large single-stranded internal bulge.
Source: RNAcentral
UACUCCCUGCGGGGCUCGUGGUUCCGGGAUAUUUCCUGAACCAACAUUGUCUAUCCAGGGGGCCUUGGUCCAUAUCGUUGGUGUGCCGCUCCGCUGCGGAGUAGCCUGAUACGAUUCCCGGGCUCCCGACCUGGUCAUCAGGUUCGUGGGAUAGCGGGCGCCACGACCCAAGCGGGGAGUUU